GAUGUAAGUACUGCCCCUUCUUGUCACUUUGUGUUGCUGAGAUAUAUAUAUCCUUCCUCCUUCUACCGGUCCUUCUUUCCUUCCCCACCCCCUUAGGAAAUAAAGUAGUCCUCCCUUCCUCCUUCUGUCUUUUUUUUUCUCAUUCUUCUGCUUUUUCACCCCAUCAACCCUUUCCUCCCCCCCUCCCAAACAAUCCCUAUUACAGAACAACAACAAGGGAAAAACCCAUCUAGGAGAAGGAGCAACCAUGACCCCCUCCUGCUCACAGAAGUCAGGAGGACAAAUCUAAAUACAUGGAGGACUUUAUUUUAUAAAAAUAUAUUAUUUUUUUAUUUCAUUUUUUUUAAUGGACCGGAUGAUCUCCAAAUGCAACAAUAAAACCUACAGCUUUGCAGGGGAGGUGAGCUUUUGUCUGAAUUAUUAUUUUUAUUAAUGCUUGAUAUUUGUUAUAUAACUAUUCAUUUGGCUGUUUAUGUAGAAUUUAGGUUAUAAAGCAAAAUAUCACUAUCCUGUGACUGUAUUCUAUUGCUCGAACGUAUGAUUGUAAACUCUAUUGUUCAUAGUCUGAGACUCUUCGUGGCAAACCCUGUCUUAACAAAUUUCACUCAGUAAUGUUCUGCUGUCAGUUGGAGAGGGGGUUGUAAGGUGCAGAGAGUAAGCUCUUGGGCUCAGUGAAUGACCUAGCUCAGUGGUGCUUGCUUUGUGUAGCACUGUACCCUAGCUGAGCAAACAUACAAUGAUGUCAUCGUAUUGUAAACUGCAUUGAUUCAAUGAAAUACCAUCUUCCACACAUCACACCCCCUAAUACCUCCCCCUCAAACAUGCCUCAGUUUUAUUCUUUUCAUAAUCAGUCUAUAUUAUGGUCAUGAUGUUUGGCAUUCUGUUUAACUGAUCUAUGCUGUGAUCUGCAGAGAUAAAAUGUAGUUUAUUCUAUGUAUCCGUGGAUGGUUUGUGGUGUUACACCAUGGUAAACAUUACAUGGAGUUGUUGCAGUGCAGUGUUAAUAUAUGCACAAGUGUUCGUGGUAAACACUGUGGGGUUCAUUCACUAAAUGGUGAAAUGUAGUUAAUGGAAAAAUUAAUUUCCAUUUUUAGACCAAAAUAGCCAAGCAGUGACUAUAAUUGAAAUAGGAAAGAAACACUUUUGCCUGAAUAUUUCAGUUUGUUUUUAAUUUGCUACAAUUAAAAGCCAAUAAAACCCAAAUGCUACUUUUUUUGAUCUGUUGCCAUGGUACAAUGUUACUAUCCAGCUGGCAGGGGUUGAAAUGGUUUGAUAAAGUGUAAACACUGACUUAAUUUUUUUUUUGGUUUAGUUUUGUUUUUCUACACCCAAAGCUUCACACAUAGUAUCAAUAUGCAAAAUAUUAAUAUGUUCUUAGUAGAUUUCAUACUAGAUUGCUUCUCCCAAAUCUUUUAGGACUUGCUAGAAGGAUACAUGGAUCAUGGCACUAGCUUGUUUUAUAUAAUAAACAAAGAUAUGCACUAUAAGGGGAAAAUAAGUAUAUUUAUUUUUAAUGUUAGAAUGUUCCUAUGCUGUGGAUCCAGCCAAUCCCUCACCCCCCCUUUAAAAUGAAACAAGCAAAAAACAAGCAUAUCUAUUAAAUUUACCUGUAAUCCAUCUCAGGGACCAUCUCCUCGCAGUAGCUGCUCCUCCUCUUCUGAGAUCAUCAUGACCAAUGAUCUUGGUCCAAUCCAUAAAGAAGUAUUGCGGACGUACGGCACAUGCGCAGCUGUGCGUGAUGACACCAAAUGUGAAAACCUUUUGAUUUUUGAUGAUCUUACUAAGGAGUUGUCGUUAACCCUGUUUGCCCUAUCACCGGGGAACAGUGCCAGGUUACCCAUGGUAUCAUAAUCACUAGAGUGAGCAUUAAUAUUUGUGAUUAGCUACACAUGCCAACCAUGCACACCUUAACUGCUUUCUGAUAAAGCACAGACACACACCUGGCAUGUGUUCUUAAAGGGACACUAUAGUCACCAAAACAACUACAACUUAAAGAAACACUGUAGGCACCCAGACCACUUCAGCUCAUUAAAGUGAUCUGGGUGUAGUGUCCCUUUUGCACCUAGUGUUUCAAUGUUAAACAUUGCAGUUCCAGAGAAACUGCACUGCUUACAUUGCAGCACAGUCAGCCUCUAGUGGUUGUUUACAAGACAGCCACUAGAGGGCUUUCUGGAUUGAAAUGGACAUUUGGUCUGAUAUCUGAUGUUGGACAUCCUCACAUACUCAUGUCUGAGUACACCCAGUGUCAAAUGAUUCCCCAUUGAUUCAAUGCUUUCCUGUGGGGAGGUAUAAUGCACAGGUGGCAUUUGCCACACAUUCGCCUUAGCGCCCGCUCGGUGCAGGGCAUCGGUGCUCGGAUCAGGUGAGUAAAUGAAGGGCUUUUAACCCUUUACAUUAUUGCUUAGGUGCAUUCAGAUGGCCAAUAGAAGUGCUUCCUGGGUCAGUGCUGCCCAGCGUGCAGCACUGGCGUUAAGUCUUCAUACUCUGCAUGGAGGUGCUGAACUUUGAGUCAGUGCAUCUCUAUGAGGAGAUUCUGAUUGGCCAGCGCAGUGUUUUGCUGUGCUUGUGCUAUAGCCUCCCAAUGCUUUCCUGUAGGAAAGCAUUGGAUUGGCUGAGAUAGUCACCAAGGAGGCGGAUUAUGGGCCGAGCCAGUGCCAGCAAGAUGGGGGGAGGUAAGGUUUAUUUUUUGUUUUGUUUUUUCCCUUUUUUAGGGGGAACGGAUCUAACUAGUGUUUUUAACACUGUAGGGUCAAGAAUACACGUUUGUAUACCUGACCCAAUAGUAUUCCUUUAACCCUGAGUGGUCACUAACGAAUACAAGCUAGCUGGAGAAACUUAGCGACAGGGUUGAAGCAAGCCUUUUUGUUUCAAUAUGAUAUAUUGAGAUUUAGCUGUGGUUUACAUCUUUACAUCAGGCCGAAGGGUGAUGUUAAGUUUUUUGACUUGGCGGCAGCUGGAAAUGAAUAGCGACGAGAUUGUAAACUAAUUGCUAAGUAGUGGUUAGUGGCUCCCAUAGAAAAUAAUAGAAGUUGUUAGAGACCCUCUUUCAGUAAUGGCAGCUGGUAACUCUGUGUCACUACUUGUUAAAUUUUUCAUUCGGGAAACCGCCUUUACUCGCUAACAGGCAUGGUAAUGACCGGCACACAUUCAUUAAUAAGUCGCAACAAGCUUUAUAACAAAGGGUUGCAGUGAAUUGAAAUUGAACUGCAAAAUAUCUUUUUGUUUUUGAAAUAUUCUCCCACAAGCAAUAGUCACAGCUGGGGGAUAUUCGCUUGAAAAUUGGAAUUUGGUUUUACGUUCACCACUCUUCACUGUUUAGUGCAAAAAAUGUUUAAAUGCGAAGGCAUAAUGACUUAUUAUGUGCUGUAAAUCCAGAGAUUACACCUUUUAAAGCACAGUAAUGAGGCACUCUCCUGUGAGUCAGGCAUUCUGUUAAAAUCCUCAAACUUGAAUUAUUUUAAAAAGCACAAAGUAAAGUAGUAAAUUAACACAAAAGAAUAGGUGAAGGUAAAACGACUUGUUUGCGGCUAAAUUCGGUACAGGCUGCUCUCUGCCCUAUUAACGUUUGAAUAAUGCAAGUUGUGGUACUUUUGAGUGCCUUUUGAGAAGCAGUUUAAGAUAAUGCACACGUCUCAUUGUAUGGCCUUGUGAAUGAAUAUCUGUGUUUUUACUGCAGUCUAGGUCAAGUGCUGAUAUAAUUAGGGGUCACAUGGAAGAGUGUUGCUAAUCUCAUGGUUUACAUUGAUUUUGUAAUGAGCCAUAAAGUUUGUCCUUGCCCAAAUAGAUGACAUUAUUAUUCAUAAUAAUAAUAAGCUUACUUGAGAUCAUAUGUAAAGUUAAUUAUGUACUUGUAUGUUUUGUUUGCAGGUAGCUGUAUCCUGUUGGGUGGCAGGCGUAUCCAAGGGGUACCAUGAAAUACCCAGGGCCCCUGGAGAGCCAGAGACUGUCCUUUCUUUUAGAAAGGGCAGUCUCUAGGGAAGCCCAGAUGUGGAAGGUGUAUGUUCACAAGACCUCACCCAAUCAGGUAAUAUCCUUUCCACAUCUUGCAUUUUUUUUU
This 4057-nucleotide long non-coding RNA is filed under the name Pelobates cultripes (western spadefoot toad). Lineage: Eukaryota; Metazoa; Chordata; Amphibia; Anura; Pelobatidae. The record is from RNAcentral.